Long non-coding RNA from Lycium ferocissimum, 486 nucleotides. RefSeq lists it as uncharacterized. The record is from RefSeq and is a predicted model, not a curated record. NCBI's taxonomy places the organism in Eukaryota, Viridiplantae, Streptophyta, Magnoliopsida, Solanales, Solanaceae. The transcript is spliced from 3 exons.
GUAUGGUUGUGGUAUUCCUUUUGGAUUGUUCAUGGGAAGCCUCAUGUUCAUACUUGGAAAACCAAAAUGGUUUGUGAACUUCGCUGAAGAUAUUGCUCAACAAAUUGCUGAAGAAAUUGCUGCUAGGAAGCGAAGAAGGCAAAGGAAGAGACAUCAAAGACGUUGAGACACGGUUUAAGGAUGACGUAACAACAUACCAGAUGUUGUUGAGGUUGCUGGAGAGUUGAACAGGUUUACAUACUAGUUACAUUAUUUACAAGUUAGUAUUAAUAUUGAGGAUUCAUAUAGCCGACCCCGACUAGCUUGAGAUUGAGGCGUAAUUGUUAUUGUAUUAAUAAGUUGGUGUUGAUGUUCUGGCAAAUGGCAAUGUAUGCCUCUGUUUCUUCACUUUAUAUGCCCGUGGUGAUUUCUAUAGUUUUAUGAAAAUAAAGAAAUAAGCUUUCGACAUUGCAUCAGUUAAUUACACGAAUGGUCAUCUUACUUCUA